GCUUGGGUGGCUCAGUCGGUUGAGCGUCUGACUUCAGCUCACGUCAUGGUCUCAUGGUUUGUGAGUUCAAGCCCCACCCCGGGCU
Molecule: transfer RNA, 85 nt
Filed under: Felis catus (domestic cat)
Lineage: Eukaryota; Metazoa; Chordata; Mammalia; Carnivora; Felidae
Rfam family: tRNA
About the family: Transfer RNA (tRNA) molecules are approximately 80 nucleotides in length. Their secondary structure includes four short double-helical elements and three loops (D, anti-codon, and T loops). Further hydrogen bonds mediate the characteristic L-shaped molecular structure. tRNAs have two regions of fundamental functional importance: the anti-codon, which is responsible for specific mRNA codon recognition, and the 3' end, to which the tRNAs corresponding amino acid is attached (by aminoacyl-tRNA synthetases). tRNAs cope with the degeneracy of the genetic code in two manners: having more than one tRNA (with a specific anti-codon) for a particular amino acid; and 'wobble' base-pairing, i.e. permitting non-standard base-pairing at the 3rd anti-codon position.
Source: Rfam by way of RNAcentral